AUGAAAUCCUCUCUUGUUGUGUGAGGUCCCUGAGGUUGUUGCAUUUCUUCUCUUCUGGAGAGGAUAUGGUGCACCAUCUGAUGACUGACUUGGGGGGAGCGGCGAAACACACAGCCGCUAUCCCCAAGGACAGCACGGUGCAGAGGAUGAGCUUCAUGUUGGGGCAGGGAGCUGGGUGUUGAGGAGGGGGAGCAGCGGUGUUGGUCACAGACCGUCCCC
RNAcentral lists this long non-coding RNA (219 nucleotides) under Gallus gallus (chicken). Lineage: Eukaryota; Metazoa; Chordata; Aves; Galliformes; Phasianidae. The record is from RNAcentral.